UACGAAUGGUGCUAUCGUUGCUCGGAAUUACUGGGCGUAAAGGGCGCGUAGGCGUCACUGUUAGUCAGGCGUGAAAGUCCUGGGCUCAACCUGGGAACUGCGCUUGAUACGGCAGAGCUAGAGGAUGGAAGAGGGUCGCGGAAUUCCCAGUGUAGAGGUGAAAUUCGUAGAUAUUGGGAAGAACACCGGUGGCGAAGGCGGCGACCUGGUCCAUUACUGACGCUGAGGCGCGACAGCGUGGGGAGCAAACAGG
RNAcentral lists this ribosomal RNA (253 nucleotides) under uncultured bacterium. RNAcentral's name for it is "partial 16S ribosomal RNA". It matches the Rfam family "Bacterial small subunit ribosomal RNA", at positions 524 to 776 of the family's 1533-position model. The record is from RNAcentral.